UUUCGACCUGAGGUCAGGCAAGAACACCCGCUGAAA
Molecule: ribosomal RNA, 36 nt
Filed under: Trebouxia sp. 12 GS-2016
Lineage: Eukaryota; Viridiplantae; Chlorophyta; Trebouxiophyceae; Trebouxiales; Trebouxiaceae
Description: partial large subunit ribosomal RNA
Source: RNAcentral